GCUGAUCCAUGAUGACGACUAUGCAUGAGACUGUUGGAUGAAUCUAGCGGAUAUGGGACUGAGAUCAACU
Molecule: small nucleolar RNA, 70 nt
Organism: Pseudoliparis swirei
Lineage: Eukaryota; Metazoa; Chordata; Actinopteri; Perciformes; Liparidae
Product: small nucleolar RNA SNORD99
Exons: 1
Source: RefSeq, a predicted model, not a curated record